RNAcentral lists this ribosomal RNA (253 nucleotides) under uncultured bacterium. Its description in RNAcentral is "partial 16S ribosomal RNA". It matches the Rfam family "Bacterial small subunit ribosomal RNA", at positions 524 to 776 of the family's 1533-position model. The record is from RNAcentral.
GACAGAGGGUGCAAACGUUGUUCGGAAUUACUGGGCGUAAAGCGCGUGUAGGCGGCUAUGUAAGUCGGGCGUGAAAUCCCACGGCUCAACCGUGGAAGUGCACUCGAAACUGGAUGGCUAGAGUCCUGGAGAGGAAGGUGGAAUGCUUGGUGUAGAGGUGAAAUUCGUAGAUAUCAAGCGGAACACCGGUGGCGAAGGCGGCCUUCUGGACAGUGACUGACGCUGAGACGCGAAAGCGUGGGGAGCAAACAGG